AUGUACAAGAUCGUGUCUAAGUGCUUGGUCAAUCGGUUGCGACCGUUGUUGGGUGAGCUGAUAUCGGAGAAUCAAAGCGCAUUCAUCCCUGGGAGGCUUAUCUCAGAUAACUCAAUUGCUUUCAAGUGCAUCCAUCAUAUACAAACUACGAAACCAAACAGUCCUGCUGCUUGUGCUUACAAGUUGGAUCUCUCGAAAGCAUAUGAUCGUGUAGAUUGGGAGUUUUUGGAGCAAGCCCUAAUAAAAUGGGGGGUUUCGAUGGAGUGGAUUACAUGGAUUAUGGCCUGUGUGAAGUCUGUGAAAUACUCGGUUAAGUUUAACGGCAAGCUACUGGAGUCGUUUUCUCCUUCUCGGGGACUAAGGCAAGGUGACCCCCUGUCUCCCUUCCUCUUCCUGUUUAUAGCUGAUGCUCUGUCCUCCUUGUUAUCCAAGUUAGUGCAUGAGGGAGAGUUUAAGGGGGUUCAAUCUGCCGUGGUGCUCCAGUUAUCUCACAUCUAUUGUUCGCCGAUGAUACUAUAUUACUGUUUGAAGCAUCGAACCACCAAGCUACCAUUGUGA
RNAcentral lists this ribosomal RNA (558 nucleotides) under Triticum aestivum (bread wheat). RNAcentral describes it as "partial small subunit ribosomal RNA". The record is from RNAcentral. Lineage: Eukaryota; Viridiplantae; Streptophyta; Magnoliopsida; Poales; Poaceae.